This is a long non-coding RNA of Nothoprocta perdicaria, 209 nucleotides long. RefSeq lists it as uncharacterized. Lineage: Eukaryota; Metazoa; Chordata; Aves; Tinamiformes; Tinamidae. The transcript has 2 exons. The record is from RefSeq and is a predicted model, not a curated record.
GCACUAGCCUUAUCUCCCUGUCGGGAUGCAGGCUUCAGGACUGUUAUGUUGACGUCCGAGUAGAAGAAAUCAGGWUGGUGGCACCUACCAGGAUUAGAUAAAUCACUGGCGGUUCGCAACUGACCAGGGCUGCAGCAUGUACUUAUCAGUGGCGUGUAAUUCGGGUACAAGUGCAGAAAGCAGGGAUUGCGGCCUGAGGGCGCCUGCCA